Benincasa hispida (wax gourd) is the source of this 2460-nucleotide non-coding RNA. The record is from RefSeq and is a predicted model, not a curated record. Lineage: Eukaryota; Viridiplantae; Streptophyta; Magnoliopsida; Cucurbitales; Cucurbitaceae.
GGUCAUCCAUGCAAGUGACGACCGUACAACGUCCAAGUGCAAAACAUGAGGAUUGACGAAAGGAGCAGUCCAAUGCGAAAUGUCCCACGCUCCAGUGGUAUAAACAGAACACAGAAUGAGCUUUUCCUCAACAUUUCUCUUCGUGCUCCACAAGAAUGGAUAUGGGUUUGGAAAUUGUGGUUCCAAACACGUGCAUCAGGGGCUGCUGCUCCAGCAAAUCGAUCCCUCUUCAUCUUCAACGUUCCGCAUUUACGUUGCUCUCCCCAAUUGCCCGAGGAGCCGAGAGUAUUGUGUAUGAAGGAAGGUUGGAUGGUAAAAAGGUGGCUGUAAAGAAGCCGACCUUGUCUACUUCUGAGGAAUUGGACAAGUUUCAUAAGGAGCUUCAGUUGCUAUGUGAAUUAGAUCAUCCAGCCAUAGUAAAACUGGUUGCAGCAAAUGCGAAGCCACCUAACUACAUGUUUUUCUUUGAAUUCUACGAGUCUCCAAAUCUUGCGGAGAAAUUGCAUGCUGAAGAAUGGAAUCCAAGUAUCAAUCAGGUGCUCACGGUCACUCUACAGUUAGCAAAGGCUUUGCAGUAUUUGCAUAACUUGGGGAUCGUACAUAGGGAUGUGAAACCAGCGAAUGUUCUUCUUGACAAAGAUUUGCAUCCAUACUUGGCUGAUUUUGGUUUAGCAAUACACCGGAAAUAUCUGAAAGAAAUUUCUGCUGAAAAUUGGGAGUCAUCUGGCAAGCCAACAGGUGGUUUCUAUAAGAAAAGCAUGGUUGGGACACUCAUCUAUAUGGCUCCUGAGAUAUUGAGGAAGGAAAUAUAUACAGACCUAUCAGAUGUCUAUAGCUUUGGCAUCCUAAUGAAUGAGCUUUUGACUGGUGUUGUUCCAUAUACCGAUCUUCGUACUGAAGCACAGGCCCACACUGUACUGGAAAUGAAUUAUACAGAGCAGCUACUUACGGCAGCUAUUGUUUCAGAUGGCUUGCGGCCAGCUCUUCCUAGUGAUGAGUCUGGCACACCAUCUAGGUUGUUAUCACUUAUACGGAGGUGCUGGGAUGCAAAUCCUAUAAACAGACCAUCUUUUUCUGAUAUAGUUAUGGACUUGGAGUCAAUUUGGGAGAAUAGAAAGGGUCUAGAAUCUGACACCCCUAUACAAUCUGACUUGUGCGGUAGGCUUAGUGAUGCUAAUGAACAUGAUUAUGUGUAUCGAGAAGAUAUUAACUGGUCACAUCAGGGAGAACAUUGUUCUCAAAAGUCAUCUGAUGCAGAUAGGUGUGCUUUGAAUGAGUGGCUUGAUUUCUCAGCUGACCAAUUGGCAUACCGCCCAACACUUUCUUGGGGAUCCUUCUCCACCUGUGGGAGGAGGGAGACGAUGGAGGACACUCAUUUUCUUUUGCCUCACUUCUGCAGUGAAAAGGACAUCCAUGUCUUUGGGAUCUUUGAUGGUCAUAGAGGUGCAGCAGCUGCUGAGUUUUCAGAUCAAGCAAUUCCUGGAUUCUUGCGAACAUCAUUUUCCACAAGAAGUCCUGUAGAUGCAUUAAUGGAAGCAUUUGUAAAAACAGACAUUGAGUUUAGAAAACAACUCGAGUUUUUUCGCAAAUCCAAGAAAGUCAAACAGAAAGACUGGCAUCCUGGUUGCACUGCUGUUGUUGCUCUAAUUGUUAGAGAAAGGCUUUUUGUUGCCAAUGCUGGUGAUUGCAGGACAAUAUUGUGUCGGGCUGGGGAUCCCGUUGUUCUAAGUAAGGAUCAUGUCGCUAGUUGUCUCGAGGAGAGAGAGCGUGUCAUCAGUGCUGGAGGCCAGGUCAAUUGGCAAGUUGAUACAUGGAGGGUUGGUCCGGCUGCUCUUCAGCUGCCACUUGUCAUUAUCUUAUUCGUCCACGGUCGCUACGUCACUGCCACAUCAUGGGCCAUGCCAUCGCCACGCCAGCAAAAAAGUGACUGGUUGGAGUGCCACGUCAUCAAAAUUGACCGUUUGUGUGCCACAUCAGCCACCACGUCGGAUGCCACGUGUCACUGCCAUGUUGGAUUUCCUCUCCAAUCUUCUUUUGCUUAUAAUUUUCUCGUUUGAACUCCGAUUUGAGCGAUUCAAAUUGUGUUGGAAUCGUCUUUCCGAGCUCUACAAGAUAGUGACUUUGAAACACUGAAAAUGUUAGUACAAAAAAUCUGAGUUUGUUAUCAUCAAAAUAAUUGGUUUGAUUGAAGCCCUAAAGCUAACAAUUUCUGCAUUCCACUACAGAUGAAAAGUUUAUUGAAUGCAAAAGGAACCAAAGCUGGUUCUGCUUUCCAAUGUAAAUGGCUAUUUUUGUGGCUUGGUAAACACUAUUCUUUGGUAACUCGAUCAAUUGGCGAUGAUGAUCUGAAGCCAGCUGUGACUGCAGAACCUGAGAUUACGGAAACUGUUCUGACAUCACAGGAUGAUUACCUGGUUAUGGCUAGUGAUGGAUUGUGGGAUGUCCUUAGCAACUCUGAGG